Long non-coding RNA from Calypte anna (Anna's hummingbird), 100 nucleotides. RefSeq lists it as uncharacterized. Lineage: Eukaryota; Metazoa; Chordata; Aves; Apodiformes; Trochilidae. The record is from RefSeq and is a predicted model, not a curated record. The transcript has 3 exons.
GCGAGCCGGCCCCCUUACCCAUUGAAAGUUUGUGAAUAGGUUGAGAUCGUUUCGGCCCCAAGACCUCUAAUCAUUCACUUUACCAGGUUGAUCCUUCCAG